CUACGUGCCAGCAGCCGCGGUAAUACGUAGGUGGCAAGUGUUGUCCGGAAUUAUUGGGCGUAAAGCGCGCGCAGGCGGAUUGGUCAGUCUGUCUUAAAAGUUCGGGGCUUAACCCCGUGAUGGGAUGGAAACUGCCAAUCUAGAGUAUCGGAGAGGAAAGUGGAAUUCCUAGUGUAGCGGUGAAAUGCGUAGAUAUUAGGAAGAACACCAGUGGCGAAGGCGACUUUCUGGACGAAAACUGACGCUGAGGCGCGAAAGCCAGGGGAGCGAACGGGAUUAGAUACCCCGGUAGUCCUGGCCGUAAACGAUGGGUACUAGGUGUAGGAGGUAUCGACCCCUUYUGKGCCGGAGUUAACGCAAUAAGUACCCCGCCUGGGGAGUACGACCGCAAGGUUGAAACUCAAAGGAAUUGACGGGGGCCCGCACAAGCGGUGGAGUAUGUGGUUUAAUUCGACGCAACGCGAAGAACCUUACCAGGUCUUGACAU
This 487-nucleotide ribosomal RNA is filed under the name uncultured bacterium. Its description in RNAcentral is "bacterial SSU rRNA". It matches the Rfam family "Bacterial small subunit ribosomal RNA", at positions 501 to 987 of the family's 1533-position model. The record is from RNAcentral.